RNAcentral lists this ribosomal RNA (433 nucleotides) under uncultured bacterium. Its description in RNAcentral is "partial 16S ribosomal RNA". It matches the Rfam family "Bacterial small subunit ribosomal RNA", at positions 29 to 507 of the family's 1533-position model. The record is from RNAcentral.
AACGAACGCUGGCGGCAUGCCUAACACAUGCAAGUCGAACGAGACCUUCGGGUCUAGUGGCGCACGGGUGCGUAACGCGUGGGAACCUGCCCUUAGGUUCGGAAUAACUCCCCGAAAGGGGUGCUAAUACCGGAUAAUGUCUUCGGACCAGAGAUUUAUCGCCUUUGGAUGGGCCCGCGUUGGAUUAGCUAGUUGGUAGGGUAAAAGCCUACCAAGGCGACGAUCCAUAGCUGGUCUGAGAGGAUGAUCAGCCACACUGGGACUGAGACACGGCCCAGACUCCUACGGGAAGCAGCAGUGGGGAAUAUUGGACAAUGGGCGAAAGCCUGAUCCAGCAAUGCCGCGUGAGUGAUGAAGGCCUUAGGGUUGUAAAGCUCUUUUACCCGGGAUGAUAAUGACAGUACCGGGAGAAUAAGCUCCGGCUAACUCCGUG